RNAcentral lists this ribosomal RNA (440 nucleotides) under uncultured Pseudomonas sp. RNAcentral's name for it is "bacterial SSU rRNA". It matches the Rfam family "Bacterial small subunit ribosomal RNA", at positions 358 to 790 of the family's 1533-position model. Lineage: Bacteria; Pseudomonadati; Pseudomonadota; Gammaproteobacteria; Pseudomonadales; Pseudomonadaceae. The record is from RNAcentral.
GGAAUAUUGGACAAUGGGCGAAAGCCUGAUCCAGCCAUGCCGCGUGUGUGAAGAAGGUCUUCGGAUUGUAAAGCACUUUAAGUUGGGAGGAAGGGUAUUAACCUAAUACGUUAGUACUUUGACGUUACCGACAGAAUAAGCACCGGCUAACUCUGUGCCAGCAGCCGCGGUAAUACAGAGGGUGCAAGCGUUAAUCGGAAUUACUGGGCGUAAAGCGCGCGUAGGUGGUUUGUUAAGUUGAAUGUGAAAUCCCCGGGCUCAACCUGGGAACUGCAUCCAAAACUGGCAAGCUAGAGUAUGGUAGAGGGUAGUGGAAUUUCCUGUGUAGCGGUGAAAUGCGUAGAUAUAGGAAGGAACACCAGUGGCGAAGGCGACUACCUGGACUGAUACUGACACUGAGGUGCGAAAGCGUGGGGAGCAAACAGGAUUAGAUACCCUUG